GACGAACGCUGGCGGCGUGCUUAACACAUGCAAGUCGAACGGAAAGGCCUGCUUUCCCUUGUGGAUUGCGGGUACUCGCGUGGCGAACGGGUGAGUAACACGUGAGUGAUCUGCCCCCAACUUGGGUAUAAGCCUGGGAAACUGGGUCUAAUUCCCGAUAGGACUGCAGGGUGGUGCCUGUGGUGGAAAACGAUUUUCUAGUGGUUGGGGCUGAGCUCGCGGCCUAUCAGCUUGUUGGUGGGGUAAUGGCCUACCAAGGCGGCGACGGGUAGCCGGCCUGAGAGGGUGGACGGCCACAUUGGGACUGGGAGACGGCCCAGACUCCUACGGGAGGCAGCAGGGGGGAAUAUUGCACAAUGGGCGGAAGCCUGAUGCAGCGACGCCGCGUGGGGGAUGACGGCCUUCGGGUUGUAAACUCCUUUCGACCGCGAGGAAGCCACCUGGUUGGAAGGGUGGUGACGGUAGUGGUAGAAGAAGCACCGGCUAACUACGUG
RNAcentral lists this ribosomal RNA (494 nucleotides) under uncultured bacterium. RNAcentral describes it as "partial 16S ribosomal RNA". It matches the Rfam family "Bacterial small subunit ribosomal RNA", at positions 28 to 507 of the family's 1533-position model. The record is from RNAcentral.